AUGCUCCCCAGAAUCUAGGGUUCUUCGGCAUUUUUAGGGUUUAUCAGUGUCGAGCAAUGCCGCGCAAGGGGAGCCGGCAGAGCUACUACGACGACAGCUAUGAUGACUACUACGAUGACUACGAGGAGGAAGAUUACGCCGACAGCAGCUCAGCCUCAGCUCCGGGAACAGCGCCGCAGCAACCAAUCUGGGCUUGCCCCAUCUGUACAUACGAUAAUCUGGAGGAACAUCAGUCGUGUGAGAUGUGUGGAGUGGUGCGAGACUCUCCAGCUCCAAUUCACGCUUCCGUUAGAAGUGCGCGUCCAAGGGCUGAGCCUUCGCAGCUUGCAACGUCCUUGUUUGCUCCUCUCCCUCCUCUGGCACUCAAGAAAGGCAUAACAUCCGAGAGCAUUAAGCAAACUUUCCAGUCACGCAGUGACGGAGACCUUGUGUCCUCCUCUAGCUCCUCCCCGAUAGUGCCCUUCAAGUUUGACGGACCUUCUCCAGAUGAUGCAAUACUCGGAGCAGUACAAGGAAGCAAAAAGCCCGUGCAAGCUAACAGCCAUGCAAGAGCAAAGUCCAAAGCAGCAGCGCCUACUUCGGAUUCACCUGGAAACCAGAGCAAGCUGAGCGACAAGGAGCACGGCGUAUCCGAAAAGCUGAAAAAGAGCCUGGUCCUUGACGGUGAUAGCGAAGACGUCAAAGAAAGCUCAAAGCAACGGUUGCAGUCUACGAGUAACAAGGGGUUGCCGCUGGAAAGCUACAAGCCCGAGCCAUGGAUGAUGCACCUAGGAUCAAAAACUGCGGAGAAGAGCUUGUUAAACCUUGUAGUGGUUGGACAUGUUGAUGCUGGCAAGUCCACAUUGAUGGGAAGAAUCCUGUAUAGCCUGGGACGAGUUUCUCACAAGGAAAUGCACAAGAACACAAAGGAGGCUAACGAGAUGGGAAAAGGUUCUUUUGCGUACGCUUGGGCGCUUGACGAGGGCGUUGAGGAGAGGGCACGGGGUGUUACUAUAACGGUUGCCGUGGCUCACUUUGAGACAGCUAAACUACGUGUCGUACUGUUGGACGCCCCCGGUCACAAGGACUUCGUGCCUAACAUGAUUUCUGGAGCUUCGCAAGCUGAUGCUGCUGUUCUUGUUGUUGACGCCGCGGAAGGUGGCUUUGAAGCUGGAAUGGGAGCAGAAGGCCGCGAGAGUGGCCAGACAAGAGAGCAUGCUCAAUUAGUUCGGAGCCUUGGAGUAAGCCAGCUUGUUGUAGCUGUGAACAAGAUGGAUGAGGUGCAGUAUUCGCAAGAGAGGUUUGAAGAGAUCAAGCGCAUCCUUACUCCGUUUUUACGACAUUGUGGAUUUCGGGACUCGAGCGUGUCCUACGUUCCUGUCAGUGCAAUCGCUGGAGAGAACCUGGUCUCAACUCCGAGUGAUGAAUUGUUUCGAGCGUGGUACACAGGCAAAGACGGCACGCUCCUUGACGCUCUAAACAGGCUUGAGCCUCCGGAGAGAGACAUCGCCAAGCCUUUCAGACUGGCUGUAGCUGAAGUCGUAAGAUCACGUUCCCUUGGUUCUGCUGCUGCGGGUGGGAAAGUCGAGAGUGGAGCCAUAAAAAUUGGGAGCAAGGUAAUGGUAAUGCCUUCAAGGGAGGUGGGGGUUGUCAAAAGUCUAGAGCAGGACGGGAAAGCUCUGCAAGCAGCAAGAGCCGGUGAUGGCGUGGAUAUUGGUCUACAGGGAGUUGAUGCCGGUGUGAUAGUCCCCGGGGGAGUUCUAUGCCAUCCCGAUUACCCGGUCCCGAUUGCCACGCGUUUCGAACUGAGAAUCCUGACACUGAAACUCGCGUUCCCGAUGCUUCCCGGUGCCCAGGUGGUUGUGCAUGCACAUCAUGCAAAGGAGCCAGGUACUGUCACGAAUCUGACGGCUUUGAUCGAUGCAAAAACUGGCCAAGCCGUCAAGCGGUCCCCACGUUGCUUGACGUCUAACCAAAGCGCGUUGGUCGAGGUGGCACCGGAGCGGGGAUUAUGUGUUCAAGAGUAUAUAAAGUUUCGUGGCCUUGGACGAGUUGUUUUGCGGAGCGAAGGGCGGACACUGGCGGUGGGAAUCAUCACGCGGAUCAUCUCCUAUCAAUAGCCGUGAUUGGCAAUUUUGGUAGCAACAGGCAUGGCUCAUCACCACCACCACCACCACCAGCAGGAGCAGGACGCAGCCUAUGGCAACGAUGUAAAUUCUCCUUAUCAAGCGGCUUAUGGGAAUCCUGCUUACCAGCCGUCGCCUUACGAGCAGUCCUCAUAUCAGCAGUCGUCUUACGAGCAGUCCCCUUACGCGAAUCCUCCACCUGCGGCUUACGGCCACCAGUUUCCUCAAUCCAGCUACGAGGAACGGCAGCGUGAGCAGCAGCUAGAGGAGCAGCGAGCUUUUGGGACUUAUGAGCAAGAGGUGAAGGCUGACAGGAAACGUGAACACUAUGGAGAGGCCGCAGCUCUUGCAGCUGGUGCCUUUGCAAUGUAUGAAGCACACGAGGUGAAGGCGGAUCCAGAGCACGCUCGCACUCACAAAAUCGAAGAGGAAAUUGCUGGGGUUGCGGCUCUCGGAUCUGGAGGCUAUGCCCUCUAUGAGCACCACGCCGUAAAGACGACCGAACGCCGUGAGGACGAAGUUGAAGGGAAGAAGCACCAUCACCAUCACCUGUUUUAAAGCAUCUAUCUCUACCUGUUUGUAGCGUUUUUCCGUGCCGGGAACAAGCGAGGUACCUUUUCUACCAAAAAAUGUUUAUUCACAGCUACUCAAUAAAAUGUGUGGCAAAGUUACUGGUGGCCUUGGGCCUCUUC
This is an RNA transcript of Selaginella moellendorffii, 2797 nucleotides long. It is a transcript of the gene named HBS1-like protein, with no coding region annotated. The record is from RefSeq and is a predicted model, not a curated record. Lineage: Eukaryota; Viridiplantae; Streptophyta; Lycopodiopsida; Selaginellales; Selaginellaceae. The transcript has 13 exons.